UUAACUGAAUCCAUAGGUUAAUGAGGCGAACCGGGGGAACUGAAACAUCUAAGUACCCCGAGGAAAAGAAAUCAACCGAGAUUCCCCCAGUAGCGGCGAGCGAACGGGGAGGAGCCCAGAGCCUGAAUCAGCAUAUGUGUUAGUGGAAGCGUCUGGAAAGGCGCGCGAUACAGGGUGACAGCCCCGUACACAAAAGCGCAUGUGCUGUGAGCUCGAUGAGUAGGGCGGGACACGUGGUAUCCUGUCUGAAUAUGGGGGGACCAUCCUCCAAGGCUAAAUACUCCUGACUGACCGAUAGUGAACCAGUACCGUGAGGGAAAGGCGAAAAGAACCCCGGCGAGGGGAGUGAAAAAGAACCUGAAACCGUGUACGUACAAGCAGUGGGAGCACCCUUUGGGGUGUGACUGCGUACCUUUUGUAUAAUGGGUCAGCGACUUAUAUUCUGUAGCAAGGUUAACCGAAUAGGGGAGCCGGAGGGAAACCGAGUCUUAAUUGGGCGUUAAGUUGCAGGGUAUAGACCCGAAACCCGGUGAUCUAGCCAUGGGCAGGUUGAAGGUUGGGUAACACUAACUGGAGGACCGAACCGACUAAUGUUGAAAAAUUAGCGGAUGACCUGUGGCUGGGGGUGAAAGGCCAAUCAAACCGGGAGAUAGCUGGUUCUCCCCGAAAGCUAUUUAGGUAGCGCCUCGUGAAUUCAUCUCCGGGGGUAGAGCACUGUUUCGGCUAGGGGGCCAUCCCGGCUUACCAACCCGAUGCAAACUGCGAAUACCGGAGAAUGUUAUCACGGGAGACACACGGCGGGUGCUAACGUCCGUCGUGAAGAGGGAAACAACCCAGACCGCCAGCUAAGGUCCCAAAGUCAUGGUUAAGUGGGAAACGAUGUGGGAAGGCCCAGACAGCCAGGAUGUUGGCUUAGAAGCAGCCAUCAUUUAAAGAAAGCGUAAUAGCUCACUGGUCGAGUCGGCCUGCGCGGAAGAUGUAACGGGGCUAAACCAUG
RNAcentral lists this ribosomal RNA (997 nucleotides) under Salmonella enterica. RNAcentral describes it as "partial 23S ribosomal RNA". It matches the Rfam family "Bacterial large subunit ribosomal RNA", at positions 154 to 1191 of the family's 2925-position model. The record is from RNAcentral. Lineage: Bacteria; Pseudomonadati; Pseudomonadota; Gammaproteobacteria; Enterobacterales; Enterobacteriaceae.